Molecule: ribosomal RNA, 418 nt
Filed under: uncultured Bacteroidota bacterium
Lineage: Bacteria; Pseudomonadati; Bacteroidota
Description: bacterial SSU rRNA
Rfam family: Bacterial small subunit ribosomal RNA
Source: RNAcentral
CUUAACGGGAGAUUGGCCUUUGAUACUGCAGGUCUUGAGUCUAGCUGAGGUAGGCGGAAUGUAGUAUGUAGCGGUGAAAUGCAUAGAUAUACUACAGAACACCCAUUGCGAAGGCAGCUUACCAAACUAGCACUGACGCUCAGGCACGAAAGCGUGGGGAGCAAACAGGAUUAGAUACCCUGGUAGUCCACGCCGUAAACGUUGAUCACUCGUUGUUGGCAAUACACCGUCAGCGACUCAGCAAAAGCAGUAAGUGAUCCACCUGGGGAGUACGAUCGCAAGGUUGAAACUCAAAGGAAUUGACGGGGGCCCGCACAAGCGGAGGAGCAUGUGGUUUAAUUCGAUGAUACGCGAGGAACCUUACCCGGGCUUAAAUGUAGCGUGCAUGGGGAUGAAAAUCUCCUUUCCUUCGGGACCC